GAUGAACGCUGGCGGCGUGCUUAAUACAUGCAAGUCGAGCGAAGCACUUUAACGGAAUUCUUCGGAAGGAAGGUAAAGUGACUGAGCGGGCGACGGGUGAGGUAACGCGUGGGUAACCUGCCUUAUACAGGGGGAUAACAGUUAGAAAUGGCUGCUAAUACCGCAUAAGCGCACAGGACCGCAUGGUCUGGUGUGAAAAACUCCGGUGGUAUAAGAUGGACCCGCGUCUGAUUAGCUGGUUGGUGGGGUAACGGCCCACCAAGGCGACGAUCAGUAGCCGGCCUGAGAGGGUGAACGGCCACAUUGGGACUGAGACACGGCCCAG
This 325-nucleotide ribosomal RNA is filed under the name uncultured bacterium. RNAcentral's name for it is "bacterial SSU rRNA". It matches the Rfam family "Bacterial small subunit ribosomal RNA", at positions 28 to 334 of the family's 1533-position model. The record is from RNAcentral.